GCGUUGUUCGGAAUUACUGGGCGUAAAGCGCACGCAGGCGGUUCGGUCAGUCAGAAGUGAAAGCCCCGGGCUUAACCUGGGAACUGCUUUUGAUACUGCCGAGCUUGAAUCACGGAGAGGGUAGUGGAAUUCCGAGUGUAGAGGUGAAAUUCGUAGAUAUUCGGAAGAACACCAGUGGCGAAGGCGACUACCUGGCCGUCGAUUGACGCUCAUGUGCGAAAGCGUG
RNAcentral lists this ribosomal RNA (226 nucleotides) under uncultured bacterium. RNAcentral describes it as "partial 16S ribosomal RNA". It matches the Rfam family "Bacterial small subunit ribosomal RNA", at positions 538 to 763 of the family's 1533-position model. The record is from RNAcentral.